This 187-nucleotide small nucleolar RNA is filed under the name Mola mola (ocean sunfish). Its description in RNAcentral is "Small nucleolar RNA SNORA81 (ENSMMOG00000018399.1)". It matches the Rfam family "Small nucleolar RNA SNORA81". Lineage: Eukaryota; Metazoa; Chordata; Actinopteri; Tetraodontiformes; Molidae. The record is from Rfam by way of RNAcentral.
ACCUUCUCUCUAAAGCACCCUGCUCAAACUGCGGGAGCCUAAGCCUCACAGGUUUAGCUCCUGUGGCUGUGUAAGCAUGGGUACACCAGGGAAGAAGAUUAUAAAGGCACAGUAUUGGAAAUGGGCCUCGGGGGGACCUCUUUCUUAAUGUCCAAUGUCCUUUGCCUCAAGAUCCUGUGUUACACUG